Molecule: microRNA precursor, 70 nt
Organism: Bos grunniens (domestic yak)
Lineage: Eukaryota; Metazoa; Chordata; Mammalia; Artiodactyla; Bovidae
Source: Ensembl
UGGCAGCCUAGGACAGAGGAGCCCGAUGGCACACGAGGUCCCACACAGGCUGCUCUGUGCUUGGCUGUCA